This 489-nucleotide ribosomal RNA is filed under the name uncultured bacterium. RNAcentral's name for it is "partial 16S ribosomal RNA". It matches the Rfam family "Bacterial small subunit ribosomal RNA", at positions 28 to 507 of the family's 1533-position model. The record is from RNAcentral.
GACGAACGCUGGCGGCGUGCUUAACACAUGCAAGUCGAACGGUGAAGGGAUCAGCUUGCUGGUUCUGGAUGAGUGGCGAACGGGUGAGUAACACGUGAGUAACCUGCCCCCUUCUUCUGGAUAACCGCAUGAAAGUGUGGCUAAUACGGGAUAUUCUGGGUCUGUCGCAUGAUGGGUCUGGGAAAGAUAUUGUUUCGGUGGGGGAUGGGCUCGCGGCCUAUCAGCUUGUUGGUGGGGUGAUGGCCUACCAAGGCGGUGACGGGUAGCCGGCCUGAGAGGGGGGACGGUCACACUGGGACUGAGACACGGCCCAGACUCCUACGGGAGGCAGCAGUGGGGAAUAUUGCACAAUGGGCGCAAGCCUGAUGCAGCGACGCCGCGUGAGGGAUGGAGGCCUUCGGGUUGUAAACCUCUUUCGCCAGUGAAGCAGGCCUGCUCCUUGUGGGUGGGUUGACGGUAGCUGGAUAAGAAGCGCCGGCUAACUACGUG